This 489-nucleotide ribosomal RNA is filed under the name uncultured bacterium. Its description in RNAcentral is "partial 16S ribosomal RNA". It matches the Rfam family "Bacterial small subunit ribosomal RNA", at positions 30 to 507 of the family's 1533-position model. The record is from RNAcentral.
AUUGAACGCUGGCGGCAGGCCUAACACAUGCAAGUCGAACGGUAACAGGAAGAAGCUUGCUUCUUUGCUGACGAGUGGCGGACGGGUGAGUAAUGUCUGGGAAACUGCCUGAUGGAGGGGGAUAACUACUGGAAACGGUAGCUAAUACCGCAUAACGUCGCAAGACCAAAGAGGGGGCCCUCCGGCCCCCUGGCAUCGGGUGUGGCCAGAUGGGAUUAGCUAGGAGGUGGGGGAACGGCUCACCUAGGCGACGAUUCCUAGCUGGUCUGAGAGGAUGACCAGCCACACUGGAACUGAGACACGGUCCAGACUCCUACGGGAGGCAGCAGUGGGGAAUAUUGCACAAUGGGCGCAAGCCUGAUGCAGCCAUGCCGCGUGUAUGAAGAAGGCCUUCGGGUUGUAAAGUACUUUCAGCGGGGAGGAAGGGAGUAAAGUUAAUACCUUUGCUCAUUGACGUUACCCGCAGAAGAAGCACCGGCUAACUCCGUG